GAUGAACGCUGGCGGUGUGCCUAAUACAUGCAAGUCGAGCGAACAGACGAGGAGCUUACUCCUCUGACGUUAGCGGCGGACGGGUGAGUAACACGUGGAUAACCUACCUAUAAGACUGGGAUAACUUCGGGAAACCGGAGCUAAUACCGGAUAACAUGUUGAACCGCAUGGUUCAACAGUGAAAGACGGUCUUGCUGUCACUUAUAGAUGGAUCCGCGUCGCAUUAGCUAGUUGGUAAGGUAACGGCUUACCAAGGCAACGAUGCGUAGCCGACCUGAGAGGGUGAUCGGCCACACUGGAGCUGAGACACGGUCCAGACUCCUGCGGGAGGCAGCAGUAGGGAAUCUUCCGCAAUGGGCGGAAGCCUGACGGAGCAACGCCGCGUGAGUGAAGAAGGUCUUCGGAUCGUAAAACUCUGUUAUUAGGGAAGAACAAAUGUGUAAGUAACUAUGCACGUCUUGACGGUACCUAAUCAGAAAGCCACGGCUAACUACGUG
Molecule: ribosomal RNA, 497 nt
Filed under: uncultured bacterium
Lineage: Bacteria
Description: partial 16S ribosomal RNA
Rfam family: Bacterial small subunit ribosomal RNA
Source: RNAcentral